This is a long non-coding RNA of Oncorhynchus tshawytscha (Chinook salmon), 6775 nucleotides long. The record is from Ensembl. Lineage: Eukaryota; Metazoa; Chordata; Actinopteri; Salmoniformes; Salmonidae.
CAUACAAUCCAUAAUACAGUAGAAAAAUCUAUAUACAGUAUGUGCAAAUGAGGUAGGAUAAGAGUGGUAAGGCAAUAAAUAGGCCAUGGUGGCGAAGUAAUUACGAUAUAGCAAUUAAACACUGGAAUGGUAGGAUGUGCAGAAGAUGGAUGUGCAAGUAGAGAUACUGGGGUGCAAAGGGAGCAAGAUAAAUAAUUAAAUACAGUAUGGGGAUGAGGUAAUUGGAUGGGCUAUUUACAGAUGAGCUAUGUACAGGUGCAGUGAUCUGUGAGCUGCUCUGACAGCUGGUGCUUAAAGCUAGUGAGGGAGGUAAGAGUCUCCAGCUUCAGAGAUUUUUGCAGUUUGUUCCAGUCAUUGGCAGCAGAGAACUGGAAGGAGAGGCGGCCAAAGGAAGAAUUGGCAUUGGGGGUGACCAGUGAGAUAUACCUGCUGGAGCGUGUGCUACGGGUGGGUGCUGCAAUCGUGACCAGUGAGCUGAGAUAAGGCGUGGCUGUACCUAGCAGAGACGUGUAGAUGACCUGGAGCCAGUGGGUUUGGUGACGAGUAUGAAGCGAGGGCCAGCCAACGAGAGCAUACAGGUCACAGUGGUGGGUAGUAUAUGGGGCUUUGGUGACAAAACAGAUGGCACUGUGGUAGACUGCAUCCCAGUUUGUUGAGUAGGGUAUUGGAGGCUAUUUUGUAAAUGACCGCCAAAGUCGAGGAUCGGUAGGAUGGUCAGUAUUACAAGGGUAUGUUUGGCAGCAUGAGUGAAGGAUGCUUUGUUGCGAAAUUGGUAGCCGAUUCUAGAUUUAAUUUUGGAUUGGAGAUGUUUAAUGUGAGUCUGGAAGGAGAGUUUACAGUCUAACCAGACACCUAGGUAUUUGUAUUUGUCCACAUAUUCUAAGUUCAGAGUAGUGAUGCUGGACUGGCGGGUGCGGGCAGCGAUCGGUUGAAGAGCAUGCAUUUAGAUUUAAUUGCAUUUAAGAGCAGUUGGAGGCCACGGAAGGAGAGUUGUAUGGCAUUGAAGCUCAUCUGGAGGUUAGUUAACACAGUGUCCAAAGAAGGGCCAGAGGUAUAUAGAACGGUGUCGUCUGCGUAGAGGUGGAUCAAAGAAUCAUCAGCAGCGAGAGCAACCUCAUUGAUGUAUACAGAGAAGAGAGUAGGCCCGAGAAUUGAACCCUGUGGCACCCCCAUAGAGACUCCCAGAGGUCCGGACAACAGUCACUCCGAUUUGACAUACUGAACUCUAUCGGAGAAGUAGUUGGUGAACCAGGCGAGGCAAUCAUCAUACAUAGAUACACAAUUGGUGAAAUCAGGGUGACAAAAAAAUGGUUGAGGUGUGUUCAAAGCCCUCCCUCAAGACUAUAGGAGAUGAACAAUGAAAUAUGUAAGCGGAACAAAAAAUUAUAUCUGAAAGGACUAAUCUCGUUUAUCCCAUUUUUAGUGUGUUGACAACAUGUUUCACUUCACAAACACCCAGUAACAUAUUACAGCCAGUCUAAUAUUUCAAUGAAUUUUGACCUAUGAAAUAUACCUUCAGAUAUUCAUGAAUUUAGAAAAGCCCUUUCUGUGAUUACUGUCCAAACUUAUCAUAACCAUUGUCUUUUUGUUGUUGUUGCCAUUGUAAACAAAUGUCCUGUUCUGCUUGAAAUUGAUCUUCUGAUAUUCAUAUCAUCUCAUUCCUAUCAUAGAAAUAAAGUGGUAUUUAUGUUGUAUGUAAACAAGAUAUAACAGAUGCAGUUGGCACACAAUAAUAAUUAUUGAAAUGUGACUUAAGGGAAGUGAAUGUCUUUUCAGGUAAUGGAUUGCAUUUAAUUUAAUUUCUUCAUUAAUCCGGUACAGAAAACGAACCCAGCAUUUUCUUCAUUCAAAGUAUGAGUAAUAGUGAAUUACAAAACAGUAUAAAUACACCAUUCAGUUACAAUAAGUAUUAGUGCAGUAAGUAGAAGGAAUAACUAUCAAGAUUCUUAAAAUCCUGUUGAUAAUUGGUAGAACAGCUAUCUUUUUUUUACAUUAUCCUCAAGCUGUUCAAUAAAUAGUAUACAGUUCUAAUAAUAAAUAUGAUUACAUUGUUGGUAAGUUUCCCUGUCACAGUGGUGAUCAGUUAUAUCAGUAUUAGUCAAGCAGUUGUGACAACAUAACAAGACAGAUGAGUAGACUUGUCUUGUAGCUUAUUCCACUGGAGGUGGCAGCAUUGUUUAUUGUUGAUUCAACAACAGAUGUUGUUGAAGCAGCUGUGUUUGGUGUAGGACCAGCUGUUGUUGUUGUUGUGGGGGUGGCUGUGGUUGUUGUGGUGGCUGUGGUAGUUGCGGCAACUGUGGUGGCUGCAGAAGUUGUAGUUCCUGUAACACCACAGAGGUUAUCUCAUAAAAAUGUACCCAAUAUAGAGUGCCAUGAGUCAAUGUUGAGAGUGACGACAAGGUCAGCAGUGAUGGCUUAACUUACUUGCAGUAAUGGAGGUUGUAUCAAUGUCGAGGAAGGUGUUCCCGUGAGACAGAGAGUCAUUCAAUCCCUGCUCUACACUCGUUACAUUGGGAACCACUGUCUGGUUCUUGAAAAUAAGGGUCAUGUUGACAAUAAUUGAACCACUCCUGUAAACAAGGAAAUAUAGAAAGAUUUAGUUUUCAUUUCGAGGUCAGAUCUUUUUUUGAUGUUUUUUUUAAACCUUUAUUAACUAGGCAAGUCAGUUAACAAUGACGGCCUAAAACCGUUGUUUCCAUGAAAGUAUUAAGAAAACAAGACAAUGUAUAGUAAUUAUUUGUAUUUGUUUUCUUAAUAUAUUAUUCAAACUUAUAUCACUGUUAUUUCGAGAUAAUUCUAUUUGAAUGGAGAGAUUCAUAGACAUACAGAAAACAAUUAUUGUUACUUACGUGAACUGAAUAAUCCUACACCUUACGUAUGUUAAAGGGUAAAUUAUUUUGUAACCACGAUUCACCUGUAAAAAAAGAAACAAAUUAGCAUCAAUAAUUUCAACAGUGAAGUCAGUGACACAAUGUUAUGGACACAAUGUUGUUAAAAGAUGAGCUGAUUACCUCUGUGGUCACAUUUUCUGCCAGUUCCUGAUAUGCUGUUGUGGAAGAAUCAGUAUAGUCACUUUGGAAUGCACGGAACAUUCUGAAUCCUAAUCCCAUUGACCCCUCAAUCGCUGUCGGUGCCGCUGUUGACUUAGUUGUGGUAGCGGUGGCUGUGGUGGUUGUGGGAACAAUUUUGGUUGUCGUUGGUACAGUGGUGUUUGUGGCAGCAGCUGUGGUUGUCGUCACAGAAGUUGUGGCUGUAGUCGAAGCAGUUGUGGUAUUCGUUCCAGCAGCAGUGGUGGUGGUGGCAGCUAUUGCUGUAGUAGCUCUGGCUGUUGUAGACGCAGCUGUGCCUGUUGUAGUAGCAACUGUGGUAGUCCUGUUGCCAGCUGUGGAUGUGGUGGGGGCAUGUGUGGUUGUAGUUGGAGCAGCUGUUGUUGUAGGGGCAGCAACUGUGGUUGUGGUGGCUGCUGCAGCAGUUGCAGGUGUCAUUGUCAUGGCAGGAACUGUGGUGGUCAUCAUGGAUGUAGUUGAGGAUGUAGUUGGAGCAGCUGUGGUUGUUGAUUGAGCAACUGUGGUAGUUGUGAUGCCUGCUGUGGUGACCGUAGCAGCACCUGUGGUUGUGGUGGCAGCACCUGUGGUUGUUGUGGGAGAAACUGUGGUUGUUGUGACUCCAUUUGUUGUUGUAGUUGGAGCAUCUGUGGUUGUUGUGGUGGCAGCUGUGAUUGGUGUUGCAGCAGUAGCUGUGGUUGUAGUUGGAGCACCAGUGGUUGUUGUGGGAGGAACUAUGGUUGUGACUCCAUUUGUUGUUGUAGUUGGAGCAUCUGUGGUUGUUGUGGCAGCAGCUGUGGUUGUUGUGGGAGAAACUGUGGAUGUUGUGACUCCAUUUGUGGUUGUAGUUGGAGCAUCUGUGGUUGUCAUGACAGGAGCUAUGGAUGUAGUAGGAGCAGUAGGUGUUGUGGUGGCAGCUCCUGCGAUUGUGGUGGUUGCUGCUGUUGUUGUAGUCGAAGAAGCUGUGGUUGUUGUUACCGGAAUUGUGGUAGUCGUCAUGCCAGCUGUGGUGGUCGUGGGGGCAGCUGUGGUUGUGGUUGCAGCACCUGUGGUUGUUGUGAAAGCAGCUGUUGUUGUUGUUGCAGCAACUGAGGUUGUGGUGGCAGCGGCAGCAGUUGCAGGUGUCGUUGUCAUGACAGGAACUGUGGUGGUCACCAUGGAUGUAGUUGAGGAUGGAGUUGGAGCAGCUGUGGUUGUUGAUUGAGCAACUGUGGUAGUUGUGAUGCCUGCUGUGGUGACCUGUGGUUGUGGUGGCAGCACCUGUGGUUGUGGUGGCAGCACCUGUGGUUGUUGUGGGAGAAACUGUGGUUGUUGUGACUCCAUUUGUUGUUGUAGUUGGAGCAUCUGUGGUUGUUGUGGUGGCAGCUGUGAUUGGUGUUGCAGCAGUAGCUGUGGUUGUAGUUGGAGCAGCUGUGGUUGUUGAAUGAGAAUCUGUGGUAGUUGUGAUGCCUGCUGUGGUGACCGUAGCAGGACCUGUGGUUGUAGUGGCAGCACCAGUGGUUGUUGUGGGAGAAACUGUGGAUGUUGUGAGUCCAUUUGUGAUUGUAGUUGGAGCAUCGGUGGUUGUUGUGGCAGCAGCUGUGGUUGUUGUGGGAGAAACUGUGGAUGUUGUGACUCCAUUUGUGGUUGUAGUUGGAGCAUCUGUGGUUGUCAUGACAGGAGCUAUGGAUGUAGUAGGAGCAGUAGGGGUUGUGGUGGCAGCUCCUGUGAUUGUGGUGGUUGCUGCUGUUGUUGUAGUCGAAGCAGCUAUGGCUGUUGUGACCGGAAUUGUGGUAGUCGUCAUGCCAGAUGUGGUGGUCGUGGGGGCAGCUGUGGUUGUGGUUGCAGCACCUGUGGUUGUUGUGAAAGCAGCUGUUGUUGUUGUUGCAGCAACUGUGGUUGUGGUUGCUGCUGCAGCAGUUGCAGGUGUCGUUGUCAUGGCAGGAGCUGUGGUGGUCAUCAUUGACGUAGUUGAGGUUGUAGUUGGAGCAGCUGUGGUUGUUGAAUGAGCAACUGUGUUAGUUGUGAUGCCUGCUGUGGUGAACGUGGCGGCACCUGUGGUUGUGGUGGCAGCACCUGUGAUUGUGGUGGUUGCUGCUGUUGUUGUAGUCGAAGAAGCUGUGGUUGUUGUGACCGGAAUUGUGGUAGUCGUCAUGCCAGCUGUGGUGGUCGUGGGGGCAGCUGUGGUUGUGGUUGCAGCACCUGUGGUUGUUGUGAAAGCAGCUGUUGUUGUUGUGGGAGAAACUGUGGAUGUUGUGACUCCAUUUGUGGUUGUAGUUGGAGCAUCUGUGGUUGUCAUGAUAGGAGCUGUGGUUGUAGUAGGAGCAGUAGUGGUUGUGGUGGCAGCUCCUGUGAUUGUGGUGGUUGCUGCUGUUGUUGUAGUCGAAGAAGCUGUGGUUGUUGUGACCGGAAUUGUGGUAGUCGUCAUGCCAGCUGUGGUGGUCGUGGGGGCAGCUGUGGUUGUGGUUGCAGCACCUGUGGUUGUUGUGAAAGCAGCUGUUGUUGUUGUGGGAGAAACUGUGGAUGUUGUGACUCCAUUUGUGGUUGUAGUUGGAGCAUCUGUGGUUGUCAUGAUAGGAGCUAUGGAUGUAGUAGGAGCUGUAGGGGUUGUGGUGGCUCCUGUGAUUGUGGUGGUUGCAGCUGUGGUGGUCGUGGGGGCAGCUGUGGUUGUGGUUGCAGCACCUGUGGUUGUUGUGGCAGCAGCUGUGGUUGUGGGGGCAUUCAUUGUUGGGCUUUGGGCAUUCCCUGAUGCUGUUGCAAAUAAAAAAGCAUAGAUUUUAGAAUAUCUUUUAGAAUUUCAUAAUGAUCUACAAUUUAAAGACUAGAGAAUGAACUUACCUAUAAUCAUAAGAAGGACUAUGAGAAUUUUUCUGUUCAUCUUUGAAACUGUUUUCUUUUUAGUCUGUGGUCACAGAGAGAUGGGCACACAUGAUUCAUUUAAAGGCAAAAGACAAACAUUUAUCAACAGAAUGACUUUGACCAAUGCAAUAUAAACUUGAAUAUUGUGGAAAGAGAUCGCUAAUGGUGAAUGCAGUAAUUUUGUCUGUUUAUGUACAGUAAGUCUUGUCUGUGAUGUUUUUAAACAAGUGAUCCACAACUUCUUUGUCUUGAUAUUUAAUAUUUUAUUAAUUCACAUUUGUAUUUUUUACUUUUAUUUAUUAUUUUAACCAUGAUUUAUUUAUCCAGGAAGUCCUGUUAAGGUCAGAAGGCGUAUUUUAUUUAUUUAGACCUGGCUAAGAGGUCAGCUGAAUUAAAACACAUAGAUACGCUACAGUGCAUGUGUUAUUGUAUAAUCCGUACAUGUAUAGACUUACCACUAAAUCUGUAGAUUUACAAAUGAGAAUGUAAUCCUUCGAUUUAGUGUUUUUACACAUUUACCAUAACACAUACACAGCAGAGCAAAAACAUGAAUAUGAAUGACUGUAAUUACCCACCAUCAAUCAUAAAACACAUGUAGUCAUUAAGAAUUGAAACAUUUGCACACCUCCUGCAGCAAGUCUGAAACUAUAGCCUUGAAUUCCUCUAUCAGGACAAAGCACUCUAGGUUAAAGAAGAUGAUUCCUGGACCAAGGGGUCAGAUAUUCUGAUCAGACCCUUGGUAACUGGAAUAAGAAUUUCACUAGAGAUGAUUUGAGAUGAUAAAAUGAAUCCAUGGCUGAACAAGGACAAGGAACAGCGGUAUAGAGUGAGUUUACGAGUUAUAGCCUUGUCAGUUAACAUACACAAAUGUUUCUUCCAAAAGUUCACUUUUA